CUAGAACAUUCUGGCAACUACGAAUUCGCUAACUAGUUGCUUCUGGCAGUUUAUCGUUGAUUCGAUUUUGUUCUAUCAUCCGUGUUCGUCACAAUAUUAUUGAGGUACAAGUGAAGUGGCUACAUCGAUUAUCGACUACAUUACAAGUAUGUAUGCACGCGUCCUUACACACAUGCAUCACAAGUACCGUAUUUGUAAGUUUACUUUUUGCAAUUGUGCAAAAAGAUUGUGGCGUCUAAAAAAGUAACUUUUCGUGAAAGAAAAAUGGCAAAACUAAAGAAAUAUUUCAAACCAAAGGAAAAAACGCUAUUAUAUGCACAUUGUGCACAAAAAUGGUGAAAACGAGUGGAAACACAUCAAAUAUGCGUACGCAUAUUAAAGCAAAUCAUCAUCACAUAGCUGUUAAGCUUUUUUAAAAAAUAAUUAUUAUAAAAAAUAUAUAUUCAGCAGGACACCAGAGACCAGAAUACCAGCACAAGUUCAAAUCAAUCUUUAGCAGAAAUGGGGAAAAUGCCCUGAAACGCUAACCUGAAAACUAACUUUGACGAAGUCAUGUAAUUUGCAAGUAAAUUUAAAUUUUUUUUGGAAAUAUGCAACGAUUGCAACAGAAGGUGGCACUAAGGAGCAACAAAUACCCGCUGCAGUCGUGUUUAUGAUAUCUUAAGAUAACAUGCCAAUACUUCCGUGGAGAAAUUCGCCCGGCAGAGAUUUUUAAAAGUUUGAUGCCCCGAGAUUCCAGAUUUAAAAUAACAGAGCUCACUGAUAGCAAAUAUACCGAAGCUCCCGCAUUGUUAAGUAUGUAUUCAAAGAAAAUAAUAACAUAGCAUUUACAUUGUUACAAUAACAAAUUCUACAAGGUCCUCUUUAUUUGUAAGUGUUUGCUUAACGGCUGUGCAGAUGCACGAGCGCAUACAUCGGAAUACAUAAGCACUUCUAUCAUGGAAGCAUUAAAUGAAUUUUAAAUACCUAUCCAGAAAGCAGUUUCGAUCACUGUAGACAAUAGAGCGAAUCUUGUAGCCGCUGUGAAAGGAUUAUUAGGCACAAAUAUGUGCAUUCCGUGCACAACUCAUACUAUAAACCUUGUUGUCCCCGAUAAGCCGGCAUAUUCAACCCUUUUGACUCGGAUCAAAGAAAUUGUUCGAUAUUUUAAGCAUUAUGUAAAUGCAAUGGACGAAUUGCGAGCUACGCAAAUAAAAAAUGUACCAGAAGACAUGGUGAAAACAGUCAUACAGGAUAUAGAUCUCAUAUCUUGACAUAAUAGAAGCCUUCAAAGCGUUGGCAGCAAUAACUGGACCUAUUUUGUUGAAGAGAAUGAGAUGACAAGUCAUCACGAGCGAAAACUAAUCUGCGAAUUAAUUGAAUAACUGAAGCCAUUCAAGGAAGCCACAAAAAACAUAAGCGUGGAGAAAUACGUUACGGCAAGCCUUGUCAUACCGUUGACUAAUAUGUUGAGACAUUUAGUCGAUGUGGAUAUCCGUACCGAAUAUGGUCAGCUGGCUCGUAGAUUGUUUACCGAAUGUCAACAAACGACGAGUUCCGUUGGAAAAACAUUAUUUGCUAUCUAAAGCCACAAUACUUGAUCCGCGCUUCAAAAGACUACAUAUCAAAUCAGCUCUGCAAUCGAACAAAUCACUUUAAGAGUAACGUAGGAAUGAAAGCAGAAAUGAUGAGAAAUAAAAAAAAACUAUAAUGUGGAGAAUACGGUAGGUUCGAUACAUUUUUUGUGUAUUCGUAUUGUAACGGAUUUCUCGAUAAAUCGUCUACCUGUAACUCACUUUUGAGUUCGAUCACUGGAUUGUUAAAUAAAAGUCCCAAUUUAAUGGCUACACACUUAUCUUUAUUUCUAAUUCCAACAACUUAACACUUAUUGCUCGUUAUUCGAGCUAACAACUUCUUGCUUAUAGCUUGAUGGCUCUUAUCACGACAACACUCUAACUAGAACUGUGUUUGCUGCACAAUCCGGCAGCCCUUAUAUAGUAAAUCUGUAACAAAACAUUGCUUCUAGAACAUUCUGGCCACUACGAAUUCGCUAACUACUUUACUACUAGAACAUUCUGGCAACUACGAAUUCGCUGUCUAGUUGCUUCUGGCAAUUUAUCGUCGAUUCGAUUUUGUUCUAUCAUCCGUGUUCGUCACAGUAUUAUGAAUUAUUUUCGGACAAAAAAUGCAGUACCACCUAACACAAAAGCAGGUUGCUGCCUACUUUCCUUCAUGAAGAUAAUAAAAUUCCAUCGCAUUAAUUCGGGUUACGUGUCAAACAUGGCACUGUAGAGGAAGUAAAUAGAAUUACUAACGAAAUUAAAAACGCUUACGACCAAAUUCAACAAUUCAAGAUGAAAAAGCUAUAGUAGAUUUACCGCAAUACUUAUUAAGCCAACCUACAAAUAUGUUCGUUCCCAUGAGAAAAUAAUGUAAUGAAACAAAACUAGCAGUGGCAACGUCACUUCUUUAUAUAAUUUUAACGAUUGGAUGAAUGAAAUGUCAUGGAACUAAUAUAAGAUUUUUACUCCAAAACAAAGAAUUCACCUCUAUUGUAACCGAAUAGAAAAGAAACUUACGAAAUUCAUAAUCAUAAUAUGAAGGAAUAUCAGUGCUUUUUAUGAAUGUAUAAUUCUAGAUAGAUGCCACAUGGUGAUGCAUAUAUAGACCGAGAACUCCUUGGCGAUGUAUUGUUUACACAAUGCCCAUAAUAUGGACUUCAAUGGACAAAUCAAGAACCCAUUGCUUCGGCAACCAGAAGGACGGAAAUAAGUACAUCGGUUAUAUGGGGGUUAGAGGAAGUAUGGACUAAUUUUUUAAUUUAACAUCAAAUCAUAUUGUGUCUAAAAUACCGUGUUUACUUAAUAUUAUUGUAUUUAAACCAUGUGCAGAGUAUCAUAUAUGUACGUAGAACGGUAGUAUAAGAUAAAUGUUAUUGAAUUAAAAACUAUUAUAACAGCAAACAAUAA
Bactrocera oleae (olive fruit fly) is the source of this 2948-nucleotide long non-coding RNA. RefSeq lists it as uncharacterized. Lineage: Eukaryota; Metazoa; Arthropoda; Insecta; Diptera; Tephritidae. The record is from RefSeq and is a predicted model, not a curated record.